CAUGCAAGUCGUACGAGAGUUUUUAACUCAAGUGGCGGACGGGUGAGUAACACGUAAGAAUUUGCCUUUAGGAGGGGGACAAGAUGAAAAUCGGUAAAUACCCCAUAUGCUUUCGAGUGAAAUGGAUUUUUCCGCCUAAAGAGAAGCUUGCGGCUGAUUAGCUUGUUGGUGAGGUAAUGGCUCACCAAGGCGACGAUCAGUAUCUGGUUUGAGAGGACGAUCAGACACACUGGAACUGAGACACGGUCCAGACUCCUACGGGAGGCAGCAGUGGGGAAUUUUCCGCAAUGGGCGAAAGCCUGACGGAGCAAUACCGCGUGAGGGAUGACGGCCUAUGGGUUGUAAACCUCUUUUUUCAGGGAGGAAUCAAAUGACGUGUACCUGAAGAAUAAGCAUCGGCUAACUCCGUGCCAGCAGCCGCGGUAAGACGGAGGAUGCAAGUGUUAUCCGGAAUCACCGGGCGUAAAGCGUCUGUAGGUGGUCCAAUAAGUCAACUGUUAAAUCUUGGGGCUCAACCUCAAAAUCGCAGUCGAAACUAUUAGACUAGAGUAUAGUAGGGGUAAAGGGAAUUUCCAGCGGAGCGGUGAAAUGCGUAGAGAUUGGAAAGAACACCGAUGGCGAAGGCACUUUACUGGGCUAUUACUAACACUCAGAGACGAAAGCUAGGGUAGCAAAUGGGAUUAGAUACCCCAGUAGUCCUAGCCCUAAACAAUGGAUACUAGAUGUUGAACAGAUCGACCUGUGCAGUAUCAAAGCUAACGCGUUAAGUAUCCCGCCUGGGAAGUAUGCUCGCAAGAGUGAAACUCAAAUGAAUUGACGG
RNAcentral lists this ribosomal RNA (820 nucleotides) under uncultured bacterium. RNAcentral describes it as "bacterial SSU rRNA". It matches the Rfam family "Bacterial small subunit ribosomal RNA", at positions 54 to 916 of the family's 1533-position model. The record is from RNAcentral.